This 192-nucleotide unclassified non-coding RNA is filed under the name soil metagenome. RNAcentral's name for it is "partial contains 5.8S ribosomal RNA, internal transcribed spacer 2, and large subunit ribosomal RNA". The record is from RNAcentral.
AACGCACGAGACCUGCGGACCUGCGGAAGGAUCAUUAAUGAAAUGCUAGGACGCUCUUUUUAGAGGUCCGACCUUUCAUUUUUCUUACACUGUGAACCAAAAUUUUUACACCUUUAAACGCAUUUAGUCUUAAGAAUGUAACAGUCUCUUAAUUGAGCAUAAAACUUUAAAAACUUUUAGCAACGGAUCUCU